GCGUCCUUGGUGUAACGGUAACACACGAUCCAUAACACUGUCCGGGGUUCGACUCCCCGAUGGCGCC
Mycena leptocephala is the source of this 67-nucleotide non-coding RNA. The record is from the annotation of a GenBank genome assembly. NCBI's taxonomy places the organism in Eukaryota, Fungi, Basidiomycota, Agaricomycetes, Agaricales, Mycenaceae.